ACAAUAUUCGGACGACAGUCUAUCGAGCAAUAGCAUCCGCUCGGUGAAAGACCUUCCCUGUGUCGC
Molecule: microRNA precursor, 66 nt
Filed under: Bombyx mori (domestic silkworm)
Lineage: Eukaryota; Metazoa; Arthropoda; Insecta; Lepidoptera; Bombycidae
Description: mir-2774 microRNA precursor family
Rfam family: mir-2774 microRNA precursor family
Source: Rfam by way of RNAcentral